GGGGAUGUAGCUUAGUUGGUAGAGUGCUUUCUUUGCAUUCACAAAACCCUGGGUUCAAUCCUCAGCACCACCA
RNAcentral lists this transfer RNA (73 nucleotides) under Ictidomys tridecemlineatus (thirteen-lined ground squirrel). RNAcentral's name for it is "Spermophilus tridecemlineatus (thirteen-lined ground squirrel) tRNA". It matches the Rfam family "tRNA". Rfam says of the family: Transfer RNA (tRNA) molecules are approximately 80 nucleotides in length. Lineage: Eukaryota; Metazoa; Chordata; Mammalia; Rodentia; Sciuridae. The record is from Rfam by way of RNAcentral.